RNAcentral lists this signal recognition particle RNA (267 nucleotides) under Clostridiales bacterium. RNAcentral's name for it is "signal recognition particle sRNA large type". It matches the Rfam family "Bacterial large signal recognition particle RNA". From Rfam's summary of the family: The signal recognition particle (SRP) is a universally conserved ribonucleoprotein involved in the co-translational targeting of proteins to membranes. RNAcentral also lists the same sequence under 1 other name. Lineage: Bacteria; Bacillati; Bacillota; Clostridia; Eubacteriales. The record is from RNAcentral.
CUGUGCUAGACGGGGAGGUAGCGGUGCCCUGUAACCCGCAACCCGCUGCAGCGGGGUUGAAUUCCUGCCCGAGGUAUGAUGCUUGUAGGGUCCUGGCCCGAGUAAGUGAUGAUGAUGACUUGGUCCUGCGCAACGGAGAACCAUGAACCCUGUCAGGUCCGGAAGGAAGCAGCAGUAAGUGGAUAUUUUCGUGUGCCGCAGGGAAGCCUGGUAGGAGUUAACUGCUCGGUUCCCGCUUAUGGGGUCAGAUCAGAGGCAGGUGCACAG